AAGGUUUUAAGUUAAAAAAAACUAUUAAUCUUCAAAAUUAAAAAUAUAAUUAUAAUAAACCUUA
This 64-nucleotide transfer RNA is filed under the name Schizoneuraphis gallarum. RNAcentral describes it as "tRNA-Trp". Lineage: Eukaryota; Metazoa; Arthropoda; Insecta; Hemiptera; Hormaphididae. The record is from RNAcentral.